CAAUAAGCGGAGGAAAAGAAACCAACAGGGAUUGCCUCAGUAACGGCGAAGUGAAGCGGCAAGAAGCUCAAAUUUGAAAGCUGGCCCCCUCGGGGUCCGCAUUGUAAUUUGCAGAGGAUGCUUCGGGAGUGGCCCCCAUCUAAGUGCUCUGGAACGGGCCGUCAUAGAGGGUGAGAAUCCCGUAUGGGAUGGGGUGUCCGCGACCAUGUGAAGCUCCUUCGACGAGUCGAGUUGUUUGGGAAUGCAGCUCUAAAUGGGUGGUAAAUUUCAUCUAAAGCUAAAUAUUGGCCGGAGACCGAUAGCGCACAAGUAGAGUGAUCGAAAGAUGAAAAGCACUUUGAAAAGAGAGUUAAAAAGCACGUGAAAUUGUUGAAAGGGAAGCGCUUGCGACCAGACUCGCCUACGGGGUUCAGCCGGUAUUCGUACCGGUGUACUUCCCCGUGGGCGGGCCAGCGUCGGUUUGGGCGGCCGGUCAAAGGCCCUCGGAAUGUAACGCCUCUCGGGGCGUCUUAUAGCCGAGGGUGCCAUGCGGCCAGCCCGGACCGAGGAACGCGCUUCGGCACGGACGCUGGCAUAAUGGUCGUAAGCGACCCGUCUUGAAACACGGACCAAGGAGUCUAACAUCUACGCGAGUGUUCGGGUGUCAAACCCGUGCGCGCAGUGAAAGCGAACGGAGGUGGGAACCCUCACGGGUGCACCAUCGACCGAUCCUGAUGUCUUCGGAUGGAUUUGAGUAAGAGCGUAGCUGUUGGGACCCGAAAGAUGGUGAACUAUGCCUGAAUAGGGCGAAGCCAGAGGAAACUACUGGUGGAGGCUUCGCAGCGGUUUCUGACGUGCAAAUCGAUUCGUCAAAUUUGGGUAAUAGGGGCGAAAGACUAAUCGAACCAUCUAGUAGCUGGUUCUGC
Molecule: ribosomal RNA, 905 nt
Filed under: Penicillium corylophilum
Lineage: Eukaryota; Fungi; Ascomycota; Eurotiomycetes; Eurotiales; Aspergillaceae
Description: LSU rRNA
Rfam family: Eukaryotic large subunit ribosomal RNA
Source: RNAcentral